Long non-coding RNA from Passer domesticus (house sparrow), 901 nucleotides. RefSeq lists it as uncharacterized. The transcript has 5 exons. Lineage: Eukaryota; Metazoa; Chordata; Aves; Passeriformes; Passeridae. The record is from RefSeq and is a predicted model, not a curated record.
UAACUGGUGGUUGUAACUGGUGUAACUGGUGGUUAUAACUGGUAACUGGUAACUGGUGUAACUGGUGGCUGUAACUGGUGUCACUGGUGUCACUGGCGGUUAUCGUUGGUGUCACUGGUGGUUAUCGCUGUCCCAAGAAACCCUCACCAAAAAUGCCCAGCAGAGCUUCUCCAGUGACUUCCACAACUCACUGACUGCAGUUCAAAGCUCACCCAGGAGUUCCUGAACCAACAAACCUGGAAGGUGGAGCUGUUUGAGCCCUCAGUCAUGAGAGGAGUUUCUGCAUUUUCCAGAAGGAAGGGAGGCCAUGGAUUCCAGGCUGAGGAGCUGAAAAUCCUUUUAGGUCCAGAGCUCCCUGUGAACCAGUGUGGGUUUCCAGGAAUGGCCCCUCUCUGCUGGCAGUGUUUGUGGCACAGCCACACUGUGAGGAGCCAAGGAAGCAGCACAGCCUCACCUUGGGAGGCACCUGGGGCACGAGUGCAUCUUCUGCCACAGGAAUUUCCAUGGAAACAAACUGUUCUAAUGGGAAAGCAUUUGGAGCUGUCUCCAAGCUGGUAAACUUCUGUUGGUGGACAUAAUGCAAAGCAUCCCUGGGCCUGUUCUUCUGGAAAGAGGGAGAUGUCCUCCUGAAGUUCAGAAAUGUCAAAGUCUUAUUUCUUCGUCGUUGCUGGAACACGUCAUUCCGAGCCGGCGCCGUCGGCAGAGGGGAUCAGAGCCAGCACAGCUCCCAGCUCUGGAUCUGCUCCUGGGUGCCUGAGCACAGAGCUGGCCAUCAAAACCACAGGGCAAUGUCUGAGGAGCCUCUCCUCAGUGCCCAGGCUGUCCUGAGAGCACGGCGGGAAAUGAAAGCUCACACAUCUCCUUCUCUCGACAGCUGGGAAGCUUUAGCUGAUUAAACCAA